AUGUCCCUACAUGCUGUUGGAGUAACUGUCCGGGUGUGGUUCCUGGUAAACAAAAAAGAACUCAGAAGGGCUCCGGUGGAAGAUGUUACAGCCUUGACCUGUUUCCACGAGGCUUCCUUGUGUCCCUCCUCGUGUCUCGGAUUCGAAAGGGCUGUGUAUGAGACAGACAAUAUCCAAACCAAAGUGAAGCUAUCUUUAAAUGCCUCCAAAGCUUGGAAACCCAAGGUUGUCCUGAGGUAAGAGGCCAUAGAAGAGAGAAUUCUUUCUCUUAUUUUCUCUGUGCUUUGGCAGUAUGUACCAGCUCACCCUUUGAAUUCUGAGACUUAGAAGUUCAACUCUUCUGCUGGGUAGCUCUUUCUGCAAACAAUAUGAACCCAAACAGCAGAUUAAUCUCCAAGCGGUUAAUGAGCAUUUCUAAAGGAGAUGACUGAGAGAAAGGUGCAUUAUCUUCCUAAAGAAAAAAAUAGGCGGUUUGCCAGAAAAAUGUAAAAUGCUGUCCAUCAACGUCAGCUGCAAUGCGCAUCUUGCUCUUGCAGCUUGUCCCGGCGACUUCUUUCAGGCCUUUGAGUAAAACUUAGAAAAAGUUGUAUUUCAAGGAAUUGCCCUGGAAAUCUUUGAUUCAUUGCUGGUGUUUGGGAUUUGUGAGAGGUACUAUAAUUACAUAUGUUAUUACUCUUGCAAUAUUUUGUAUUACGUUACUGCAUGUUUAUAGACCAAAACGUUAUAGACAGAUAGAACGCAGCCUGAGAAGGAGGGGAGACGUAAAUCAAGGUAUAAAACUGCCCUGAAUAAUAUUUUAUGUUUCACUAUAUUGACCUGGAAUUACAGGAUAAAGACAUUUUCCACUGCUGCACUGUUUUUUUUUUCUUUCCUAUUUUCUCUGUGUGUCUGUUUCAGGCUUGUUGGAGUUCUUCAUUAAGUCCAGAAUCUGUAUCAAAUGAGCUGUAGUGUGCUGCAGCACAUAAAGGUUUCAAAGCAACAAUUACUCUAUUAUUUCAGCAGAGAUUACCUGUUUGAAAUGAAACCCACACUGAAUCCUUUCUGACCUGGUCCUUAUUGUGAUACUGAUAACGAGCCACACUUUCCAGUCUUUAUCUUACCUCCUACCGGGCAAUCUUUUCUUCUGGAGCUUAAUUCUGCUAAUAGCACCCUUGACUGGUUGCCAGACAA
This 1170-nucleotide long non-coding RNA is filed under the name Anas platyrhynchos platyrhynchos (common mallard). RNAcentral's name for it is "lncRNA (ENSAPLG00000019503.1)". Lineage: Eukaryota; Metazoa; Chordata; Aves; Anseriformes; Anatidae. The record is from RNAcentral.